This 539-nucleotide ribosomal RNA is filed under the name uncultured bacterium. RNAcentral describes it as "bacterial SSU rRNA". It matches the Rfam family "Bacterial small subunit ribosomal RNA", at positions 355 to 895 of the family's 1533-position model. The record is from RNAcentral.
UGAGGAAUAUUGGUCAAUGGGCGCGAGCCUGAACCAGCCAAGUAGCGUGCAGGAUGACGGCCCUAUGGGUUGUAAACUGCUUUCGUAUGGGGAUAAAGUCAAUCACGUGUGAUUGUUUGCAGGUACCAUACGAAUAAGGACCGGCUAAUUCCGUGCCAGCAGCCGCGGUAAUACGGAAGGUCCGGGCGUUAUCCGGAUUUAUUGGGUUUAAAGGGAGCGUAGGCCGGAGAUUAAGUGUGUUGUGAAAUGUAGACGCUCAACGUCUGACUUGCAGCGCAUACUGGUUUCCUUGAGUACGCACAACGUUGGCGGAAUUCGUCGUGUAGCGGUGAAAUGCUUAGAUAUGACGAAGAACUCCGAUUGCGAAGGCAGCUGACGGGAGCGCAACUGACGCUUAAGCUCGAAGGUGCGGGUAUCGAACAGGAUUAGAUACCCUGGUAGUCCGCACAGUAAACGAUGGAUGCCCGCUGUUGGUACCUGGUAUCAGCGGCUAAGCGAAAGCAUUAAGCAUCCCACCUGGGGAGUACGCCGGCAACGGU